GGGGCCGACUUUGGAUUUGACAGCAGGAGAAAUAGUUAAGUAAGCAUGUCGAGUGUUGGGAGUACUCUCGUAAAUCAGAAUUUCCAAGUCUAUAAACGACAAUAACAACUACGCGCUUGCAGCUUAAUCACUAGUGAUUAAACUUAAUCCUCUGGUAAGACCAGUUGGACAAGCUGCCCAGCUUUGACUACCUGUUCAGCGGUUAAAGUAAUUGGGUACCGUUGGCCUGAACUAAGUGAUGUAAAGUCUUGGUGCAUCAACUAAAAUUUAAGAGACUAAGAAUAGGUUAGGGUGUUUGUGCUCAGAUUUAUUUCGAAAACCAAUCACAAAAUAAACAUGUAGAAAUCUUAGUUGUUCCUUGUUUGGACGAGGGUUCGAAACCCUCCGGCUCCACUU
RNAcentral lists this transfer-messenger RNA (396 nucleotides) under Flavobacteriales bacterium. It matches the Rfam family "transfer-messenger RNA". Rfam says of the family: Bacterial tmRNA, also known as 10Sa RNA or SsrA, is named for its dual tRNA and mRNA-like properties. The record is from RNAcentral. Lineage: Bacteria; Pseudomonadati; Bacteroidota; Flavobacteriia; Flavobacteriales.